AGUGAACGCUGGCGGUAGGCCUAACACAUGCAAGUCGAACGGCAGCACAGUAAGAGCUUGCUCUUACGGGUGGCGAGUGGCGGACGGGUGAGGAAUACAUCGGAAUCUACUUUUUCGUGGGGGAUAACGUAGGGAAACUUACGCUAAUACCGCAUACGACCUACGGGUGAAAGCAGGGGAUCUUCGGACCUUGCGCGAUUGAAUGAGCCGAUGUCGGAUUAGCUAGUUGGCGGGGUAACGGCCCACCAAGGCGACGAUCCGUAGCUGGUCUGAGAGGAUGAUCAGCCACACUGGAACUGAGACACGGUCCAGACUCCUACGGGAGGCAGCAGUGGGGAAUAUUGGACAAGGGGCGCAAGCCUGAUCCAGCCAUACCGCGUGGGUGAAGAAGGCCUUCGGGUUGUAAAGCCCUUUUGUUGGGAAAGAAAAGCAGCAGGUUAAUACCCCGCUGUUCUGACGGUACCCAAAGAAUAAGCACCGGCUAACUUCGUG
RNAcentral lists this ribosomal RNA (492 nucleotides) under uncultured bacterium. RNAcentral describes it as "partial 16S ribosomal RNA". It matches the Rfam family "Bacterial small subunit ribosomal RNA", at positions 29 to 507 of the family's 1533-position model. The record is from RNAcentral.